CACGUAGGGCGCAAGCGUUGUCCGGAAUUAUUGGGCGUAAAGAGCUCGUAGGCGGUCUGUUGCGUCCGCUGUGAAAACUCGGGGCUUAACCCCGAGCCUGCAGUGGAUACGGGCAGACUAGAGGUAGGUAGGGGAGAAUGGAAUUCCCGGUGUAGCGGUGAAAUGCGCAGAUAUCGGGAAGAACACCCGUGGCGAAGGCGGUUCUCUGGGACGGUACUGACGCUGAGACGCGAAAGCGUGGGGAGCGAACAGG
RNAcentral lists this ribosomal RNA (253 nucleotides) under uncultured bacterium. Its description in RNAcentral is "partial 16S ribosomal RNA". It matches the Rfam family "Bacterial small subunit ribosomal RNA", at positions 524 to 776 of the family's 1533-position model. The record is from RNAcentral.